GUUUUUUCUUUAGGUGCUUGUUUUAUGUGAUAACUGAUAACCUGUUAUGUUUUUGUUCACCUAUAGGGUGUAGAGAAGCUGGUAACAUCAAAGAUGAUUCCGAAGGGGUCCAAUGGAGAAUUCACUUGGUUCACCAAAACUCUGGCCUGGAUCAGGCCUUUUGGUUGUGAGUUGCUCUUGGAGGUUAUCUGGGAUGGGCCACAGCUCUACAUGAUCCAGUCUUCAGGCUGUUUUAUAAUCUAAGGUGUACAUGACGAAGCCAUGGACAAAGCUUUUGAGAGCUGGAGCGGGUGUGUGAAGUGUGAUGAAAUCAAACCGUCAGCGCCAGAAGCCCAGAAGGUCCCGGCAGACCUUCCGAAGCAGAUGAAAGCAGCUGCGCAGGCGGCGCUGGAGGAGAUGGCGGCAAGCCCGCGACAGAAACUUUUAGACGUGUGUUGUUUGCAAGGAAUCGUCGACACCAUAGACCAUUGUAGUACCAUACAAUGCUGCAAGUAUCGAAAACAAAAAUAGUACGCCAUACAGUCUCCUGACCGACAGGACGAGUUCGUCAGUUUCAUUUCAUGGACGCAGAAGUGGCUCAGAACACGGCUGCCUCGUGCUCUUUUGCCUUUGGGGUUCAGGUGAGUGGCGCUCCUGCCGGCAGUUUGACGCGCCAUGAGGCCUACUCCAGUGGCUGAGGUUGAAUAUAAGCUGCUUAUAUAAUAUUUUCUCAUAUUUUAAUAGGAGGGAGAAGAGCUAUCAUUUGAUCAAUUGAUAAAGAGACAAUCUCGUACGUACUUCAAGAUUAUGUGGAAAUGACGUAUAGUCAUUUAUAACAUAUUAUAAGUUAUGUUCUAAGAAUCAGAUUAUUAGAA
Molecule: long non-coding RNA, 854 nt
Organism: Panicum hallii
Lineage: Eukaryota; Viridiplantae; Streptophyta; Magnoliopsida; Poales; Poaceae
Exons: 4
Source: RefSeq, a predicted model, not a curated record